This is a long non-coding RNA of Acinonyx jubatus (cheetah), 670 nucleotides long. RefSeq lists it as uncharacterized. Lineage: Eukaryota; Metazoa; Chordata; Mammalia; Carnivora; Felidae. The record is from RefSeq and is a predicted model, not a curated record. The transcript has 3 exons.
CCGGCUUCUUCCAGCUUCAUUCUUUCCUCCACAGAUGAAGGCGCUUUGAAGGCCACGUGCUCAGCACACAGACGGGAGCAAAGCAGACCUUGAUUUCCUGCAGGAAACUAGGGACAGGGUGCCAGACAGACGCAGCAUCUUGACUGGAGCGGUCAACGAGAGGAUGAAGAGAAUUGGAGGAUUUUAGGUCCAUUUGGGAAAUCAGCAGGCUGUGGAUGUCCCCUGGAUCCUGGGGAGCAGGCGAGAGAGGGACGUGUCAAGAGAACCACUGAGAUUCACGGCUGGGACAGCGGGAACUCAGGACACGGACAAGGACCCAGCGAGGCCCUGCUCCAGCCAGGACGCCCUCAGCGCACAGCACAAGUAGGUCUGCCCUCCAGGCCUCCCUCUGCAGCCCGACUGACGCAGCAGCGGACAGCCCGCCCCGCGUGGGUUCACCGGGGACCCUGUUGGAGCAGCAGCCUGGGGGACGCGUCGCCAAGGACAGGCCUGGCUCUGGCGAUCACCGCAGGUGUCGGCAGGAGCGUCUGCACCCCUGCAUGGAGGGGCUCCCCGGAAGUGCCCAGGCCUCACUGGGGCCCACACAGGGCCCUCUGCAACCUGCUCAGCUCAGGCCAGAGUCAGCAGAGCCCCGGGUGGCCUGUCCCCGUCAUCCCCGUGCACCUGCCCA